CAUCAAGUAGGAAGAUGCCUUAGCUGUUAUAUUGUAAAAUUCCAAAGAAAAUCAUUAGGCACGUGGGCCCAUUUAGGGACUUCUGUUUUAUAAGGCAUGUUGGUGUGUAAGUGUAUGAGUAGAACUCCACAAAUUAUACUUAACAUUUACCCUUAAGUAAGCUGAUAAAUCUGCGUGAAAAGAAGCCCAAUUCUCCACUCUUGCUUCCAGCUCUCCUGCUUACAAAGCGAACUGUGUCUGCCAAUUCCCGAAAAGCCAAAGGGGGAAGCUCUUUUUUUUAUAAGCUACCUUUAACUGGCAACAUUUAGUGCACUACACUAAUAUCCUAACAACAUCUUUACAGCAGCCUCAGUCAAGUCCUGCGCAUCCCUUAACCUUCAGGCCUGGGAAGAGAACUUGGCUUGCGGCCACCAGGAGGAGGCUUCUUUGUUUGAUCUGCUACAUCAUAAGCUUACUAGCACGGAGGGAUAGCAUGUCGUUGAACGUGGAAGAACACACCUUCAUCUGUAUUAAUGAAGAAAACUAUUGAAAACCAACAGACUAAUUAAGGGUAAUGAUGAACAAUUUUGAUCAGCCAUUAUUUUUUAAUAUUGAAGUUCGCUCCUGGAAAGAGUAGAAUGGGGAAGUUCGUCUUCCAGCUUCUACCCAGAAAGGUAGCAAGAGAGAUCCUGUUUCAUUUCCAUUUCUUCUCCCACAAACUGUUUUAACAUAUAAUUGAAUCAAUGCCUUUAUUUCAAAAGAAAAAAAAAGUAAUUAUAGAGCUUGUUGGGAUCCUGUAUGAAGAGAGGACAUUAUGCCUGCAUGAAUUCCAUCGGUGAUCUGAAGAGGAGCAGGCUGCUUGGACCAUUACCCAUCAUUGUCGAACAGCAGAGUAAUUAAUUGGGCAAAUACGUCUAGAUCUGGUGAAUUCACAUGCACAGUAACUGGGCAGCAGCAACACACACUCUUUUACUGUGAAUAAAAUAGCAAUAGUUUUCUGUGUCUUUGUGCUAUGUAAAAUGUCUUUUUUUUUUCCUCUUGGCUUUAUCCAUUCCAGAUUAUUUUGUCCAUCUUUAUGUACUCAUUUGAAAAGAGCUUGUUUAUUACAAAGGAAAAAGAUCUGUAGAUGAGCAAGUUUGAAUUCCAUGUCUCCGUUUAUUUCUAAAGGAAUGAAUUCGGUUCAUUAUGAUUUCACUAGCUUUUAGAAUAAUUUAAUAUUUUCACUAAAAUGGGUUAAAUGAGCAUGAGGAAAUAGUUGUAAAUAAAACUACUUUCAGGAAGGGGCGUGCAUCCAAAAUAAUUACUAAUGCCUUUUAAUUACUAUACAAUAUUAACGCAAAAAUUUAACUGUUUAUUUAAAUGUCAUCCACAGAGGUAGAAAAUAAGGCACAGCAUUUGUCCUGGAGAAACUGAUGAAGAAUAUUUCAUCACCAGCCUCUUAUAAGACUCCUCUGUAAAGCAUAGACAAUAAAAAAAAAAUCUAACACUGUUUAUUUGAACAUCAAAAAAGCAGACAAGUAUUUAGAAGAAAAAUAUAUGAUUGUUUUAAUGCAAAUCAUCUCUGACAGCUAAGUCCAAAUGUAAUAAGAAAGCUUAGGUUUUGACUUAAAAUUAAGUCAAUUUUUCAGCAUCUCUACUUCUGAAGAGGUUAAAUGAUGAUUUCCUUUUUUCCUGAUCAUAUUUUAAUCCAGAUAACAGAGGACUUGCACUCCUAAUUCAGACUUUCUGGUAAAGCUCAGCUUGUCACAAUGUAUAGCUUUCUUUCCUUUGAUAAGGUCAGUUUGCCAAAAAGAACAAAGUGCAUAUGAGUAAUACAUUACUCAACCACUUGUAUACAUACAUCUAUUUUUCUUACCAGGUCUCACUAUUCAAAAAGGUACAGACAUGGCACCAUGAUAAAAAGGGUCAUUUAAAAGACUUCGCAGAGGCUCUGUACUGUGAAGGAUUGAAUUUUCACUUGAAUGCCUACAUUUUCACAUCUUUUUCUUUGCAGAAAUAUUCCUUUUGAAUGGCAGACUGCAAUUGGGUAGGUUUUUUUUUUAAGUCACUGACCAGGAAUAUGAAAAAUAUUAGAAGGCAUUUGUCCCAAUGGUAGAACACAGUUCACUACCAGGUACCUGGUGGUUACUAAGAAAGUUAUACAACUUUGUCUCCAGAUUGAAGAGCUCCUUUGGAUAAAAGCCUUAAGUUCAGUCAAGGUGGAAGGAACACUAAGGUCUGCCACUUCUAAAUGACAGACAAUUUGAAUAACUUGCAAAAUCAUUAGCCCCAAAGCCAUCUACCUAGUAAUUUUUCAUAAUCACAUUCAAUGUGUAUUCUUAGGAACACACAAGCAGACUCCAGUUUAUCUUUUUACCUACUCCAACAUUUGAUCACAACGUUUUGAGAAAUAUGCUCAUGACUAAUUUUUAAAAACUCUAAUUUUUCUUUAGUGGUUAUAUAUUUCUCAAAUAUACUUAAAGGGGUGCAGAAGAGAAAGAAGUCUAUUAAAUACAUUAAAAAUCUUAAAUCUUGAUUAUUGGGUUCCGUAAGGAGUUAGUGUAAAUUCAGUUCAGAUGAAUGCAACAAAUAUUUCUUCAUCUCCUACUAUCAGUAUGGUAUUGUGCUAGGAUUACCGGGAGAUACAAAAAUGAAUAAAGUAUCUUCUCUACUCUUAAGAAUUCUAGAAUCUAUA
This is a long non-coding RNA of Sapajus apella (tufted capuchin), 2653 nucleotides long. RefSeq lists it as uncharacterized. Lineage: Eukaryota; Metazoa; Chordata; Mammalia; Primates; Cebidae. The record is from RefSeq and is a predicted model, not a curated record. The transcript is spliced from 2 exons.